AAACGGUAGCUAAUACCGCAUAACGUCGCAAGACCAAAGUGGGGGACCUUCGGGCCUCAUGCCAUCAGAUGUGCCCAGAUGGGAUUAGCUAGUAGGUGGGGUAACGGCUCACCUAGGCGACGAUCCCUAGCUGGUCUGAGAGGAUGACCAGCCACACUGGAACUGAGACACGGUCCAGACUCCUACGGGAGGCAGCAGUGGGGAAUAUUGCACCAAUUGGCGCGCAAACCCUUGAUGCAACCCAUGCCGCGGUGUGGGAAAGAAGGCCUUUCGGGGUUGUAAAAGCAAUUUUCAGCGGGGGAGGAAGGCGGUGAAGGUUUAAUAACCUUCAUCCGAUUGACGUUACCCGGCAGGAAGAAGCCACCGGCUAAAAUUCCGUGCCCAGCAGCCCGCGGUAAUUACGAGGGGUGCAAAGCGUUAAUCGGAAAUUACUGGGCGUAAAGCGCACGCAGGGCGGUCUGUCAAGUCGGGAUGUGAAAUCCCCCGGGCUCAACCUUGGGAACUGCAUUCGAAACUGGCAGGCUAGAGUCUUGUAGAGGGGGGUAGAAUUCCAGGUGUAGCGGUGAAAUGCGUAGAGAUCUGGAGGAAUACCGGUGGCGAUUGCGGCCCCCUGGACAAAGACUGACGCUCAGGUGCGAAAGCGUGGGGAGCAAACAGGAUUAGAUACCCUGGUAGUCCACGCCGUAAACGAUGUCGAUUUGGAGGUUGUGCCCUUGAGGCGUGGCUUCCGGAGCUAACGCGUUAAAUCGACCGCCUGGGGAGUACGGCCGCAAGGUUAAAACUCAAAUGAAUUGACGGGGGCCCGCACAAGCGGUGGAGCAUGUGGUUUAAUUCGAUGCAACGCGAAGCCUUACCUGGUCUUGACAUCCACAGAACUUUCCAGAAAUGGAUUGGUGCCUUCGGGAACUGUGAAACAAGUGCUGCAUG
RNAcentral lists this ribosomal RNA (927 nucleotides) under Klebsiella pneumoniae. RNAcentral describes it as "bacterial SSU rRNA". It matches the Rfam family "Bacterial small subunit ribosomal RNA", at positions 154 to 1047 of the family's 1533-position model. The record is from RNAcentral. Lineage: Bacteria; Pseudomonadati; Pseudomonadota; Gammaproteobacteria; Enterobacterales; Enterobacteriaceae.